This 149-nucleotide non-coding RNA is filed under the name Gorilla gorilla gorilla (western lowland gorilla). Lineage: Eukaryota; Metazoa; Chordata; Mammalia; Primates; Hominidae. The record is from Rfam by way of RNAcentral.
GCCAAGUGUGGUGGCGCACACCUGUGGUCCCAGCUACUUGGGAGGCUGAGGCGGGAGGAUCGCUUGAGCCCAGGAGUUCGUGGCUGCAGUGAGCUAUCUAGGUCGCCACAGUGCUUCUGCCUGGGUGACAGAGUGAGACCCUAUCUCUA